RNAcentral lists this ribosomal RNA (660 nucleotides) under Salmonella enterica subsp. enterica serovar Berta. RNAcentral's name for it is "partial 23S ribosomal RNA". It matches the Rfam family "Bacterial large subunit ribosomal RNA", at positions 1 to 701 of the family's 2925-position model. RNAcentral also lists the same sequence under 1 other name. Lineage: Bacteria; Pseudomonadati; Pseudomonadota; Gammaproteobacteria; Enterobacterales; Enterobacteriaceae. The record is from RNAcentral.
GGUUAAGCGACUAAGCGUACACGGUGGAUGCCCUGGCAGUCAGAGGCGAUGAAGGGCGUGCUAAUCUGCGAUAAGCGCCGGUAAGGUGAUAUGAACCGUUAUAACCGGCGAUACCCGAAUGGGGAAACCCAGUGUGAUUCGUCACACUAUCAUUAACUGAAUCCAUAGGUUAAUGAGGCGAACCGGGGGAACUGAAACAUCUAAGUACCCCGAGGAAAAGAAAUCAACCGAGAUUCCCCCAGUAGCGGCGAGCGAACGGGGAGGAGCCCAGAGCCUGAAUCAGCAUGUGUGUUAGUGGAAGCGUCUGGAAAGGCGCGCGAUACAGGGUGACAGCCCCGUACACAAAAGCGCAUGUGCUGUGAGCUCGAUGAGUAGGGCGGGACACGUGGUAUCCUGUCUGAAUAUGGGGGGACCAUCCUCCAAGGCUAAAUACUCCUGACUGACCGAUAGUGAACCAGUACCGUGAGGGAAAGGCGAAAAGAACCCCGGCGAGGGGAGUGAAAAAGAACCUGAAACCGUGUACGUACAAGCAGUGGGAGCACAGGUUUACCUGUGUGACUGCGUACCUUUUGUAUAAUGGGUCAGCGACUUAUAUUCUGUAGCAAGGUUAACCGUAUAGGGGAGCCGGAGGGAAACCGAGUCUUAAUUGGGCGUUAAGUU